UACGGAGGGUGCAAGCGUUGUUCGGAAUUACUGGGCGUAAAGGGCUCGUAGGCGGCCAACUAAGUCAGACGUGAAAUCCCUCGGCUUAACCGGGGAACUGCGUCUGAUACUGGAUGGCUUGAGAUUGGGAGAGGGAUGCGGAAUUCCAGGUGUAGCGGUGAAAUGCGUAGAUAUCUGGAGGAACACUGGUGGCGAAGGCGGCAUCCUGGACCAACACUGACGCUGAGGAGCGAAAGCCAGGGGAGCAAACGGG
Molecule: ribosomal RNA, 253 nt
Filed under: uncultured bacterium
Lineage: Bacteria
Description: partial 16S ribosomal RNA
Rfam family: Bacterial small subunit ribosomal RNA
Source: RNAcentral